This 1436-nucleotide ribosomal RNA is filed under the name uncultured organism. Its description in RNAcentral is "SSU rRNA". It matches the Rfam family "Bacterial small subunit ribosomal RNA". The record is from RNAcentral.
GCUAGCUACAGGCUUAACACAUGCAAGUCCUUGGGCAGCAUUUCAGUUUGCUUGCAAACUGGAGAUGGCGACCGGCGCACGGGUGAGUAACACGUAUCCAACCUGCCGAUAACUCGGGGAUAGCCUUUCGAAAGAAAGAUUAAUACCCGAUGGCAUAAUUAGACCGCAUGGUCUUAUUAUUAAAGAAUUUCGGUUAUCGAUGGGGAUGCGUUCCAUUAGGCAGUUGGUGAGGUAACGGCUCACCAAACCUUCGAUGGAUAGGGGUUCUGAGAGGAAGGUCCCCCACAUUGGAACUGAGACACGGUCCAAACUCCUACGGGAGGCAGCAGUGAGGAAUAUUGGUCAAUGGGCGCAGGCCUGAACCAGCCAAGUAGCGUGAAGGAUGACUGCCCUAUGGGUUGUAAACUUCUUUUAUAUGGGAAUAAAGUUUUCCACGUGUGGAAUUUUGUAUGUACCAUAUGAAUAAGGAUCGGCUAACUCCGUGCCAGCAGCCGCGGUAAUACGGAGGAUCCGAGCGUUAUCCGGAUUUAUUGGGUUUAAAGGGAGCGUAGGUGGACAGUUAAGUCAGUUGUGAAAGUUUGCGGCUCAACCGUAAAAUUGCAGUUGAUACUGGCUGUCUUGAGUACAGUAGAGGUGGGCGGAAUUCGUGGUGUAGCGGUGAAAUGCUUAGAUAUCACGAAGAACUCCGAUUGCGAAGGCAGCUCACUGGACUGCAACUGACACUGAUGCUCGAAAGUGUGGGUAUCAAACAGGAUUAGAUACCCUGGUAGUCCACACAGUAAACGAUGAAUACUCGCUGUUUGCGAUAUACAGUAAGCGGCCAAGCGAAAGCAUUAAGUAUUCCACCUGGGGAGUACGCCGGCAACGGUGAAACUCAAAGGAAUUGACGGGGGCCCGCACAAGCGGAGGAACAUGUGGUUUAAUUCGAUGAUACGCGAGGAACCUUACCCGGGCUUAAAUUGCAUUUGAAUAAUCUGGAAACAGGUUAGCCGCAAGGCAAAUGUGAAGGUGCUGCAUGGUUGUCGUCAGCUCGUGCCGUGAGGUGUCGGCUUAAGUGCCAUAACGAGCGCAACCCUUAUCUUUAGUUACUAACAGGUCAUGCUGAGGACUCUAGAGAGACUGCCGUCGUAAGAUGUGAGGAAGGUGGGGAUGACGUCAAAUCAGCACGGCCCUUACGUCCGGGGCUACACACGUGUUACAAUGGGGGGUACAGAAGGCAGCUACCUGGUGACAGGAUGCUAAUCCCAAAAGCCUCUCUCAGUUCGGAUCGAAGUCUGCAACCCGACUUCGUGAAGCUGGAUUCGCUAGUAAUCGCGCAUCAGCCAUGGCGCGGCGAAUACGUUCCCGGGCCUUGUACACACCGCCCGUCAAGCCAUGAAAGCCGGGGGUACCUGAAGUACGUAACCGCAAGGAGCGUCCUAGGGUAAAACUGGUAA